This 1398-nucleotide long non-coding RNA is filed under the name Callithrix jacchus (white-tufted-ear marmoset). Its description in RNAcentral is "lncRNA (ENSCJAG00000072105.1)". Lineage: Eukaryota; Metazoa; Chordata; Mammalia; Primates; Cebidae. The record is from RNAcentral.
AUGCGUCCUCCAGCUUCCUCUCAAUAUGCAGCAGUUUCAGCACCUGUAGUAGGAGACGGGACACGCGACGAGUGUUGGGAGGUUCUGGGCAAAGAAGGGACACUCCAGUCUCAGGAGGCUCUGGGCAGAGACGAGAUACGCAAGUUUCAGGAGGCUCCGAGUAGAGACUGGACAUCCGACGAGUCUUGGGAGGCUCCAGGAGGAAACUGGACCCUCGAGUCUCGGGCGGCUCUGGACGGAGAUGGAACACUCCUGUCUCAGGAGGCUCCAGGUGGAAAUGGGACACUCGAGUCUCAGGAGGCUCCGGGCGGAGAUGAGACACUCCAAUCUCGGGAGGCUCUGGACGGAGAUGGGACACUCCAGUCUCAGGUGGCUCCGGGCAGAGAUGGGACACUCCAGUCUCGGGCGGCUCUGGACGGAGAUGGGACACUCCUGUCUCAGGAGGCUCCAGGUGGAGAUGGGACACUUGAGUCUCAGGAGGCUCUGGGCGGAGAUGAGACACUCCAAUCUCGGGAGGCUCUGGACGGAGAUGGGACACUCCAGUCUCAGGUGGCUCCGGGCAGAGAUGGGACACUCCAGUCUCGGGCGGCUCUGGACGGAGAUGGAACACUCCUGUCUCAGGAGGCUCCAGGUGGAGAUGGGACACUCGAGUCUCAGGAGACUCCGGGAGGAGAGGAGACACUCCAAUCUCGGGAGGCUCUGGACGGAGAUGGGACACUCCAGUCUCAGGUGGCUCCGGGCAGAGAUGGGACACUCCAGUCUCGGGCGGCUCUGGACGGAAAUGGGACACUCCUGUCUCAGGAGGCUCCAGGUGGAGAUGGGACACUCGAGUCUCAGGAGGCUCCGGGAGGAGAGGAGACACUCCAAUCUCGGGAGGCUCUGGACGGAGAUGGGACACUCCAGUCUCAGGUGGCUCCGGGCAGAGAUGGGACACUCCGGUCUCGGGCGGCUCUGGACGGAGAUGGGACACUCCUGUCUCAGGAGGCUCCAGGUGGAGAUGGGACACUCGAGUCUCAGGAGGCUCCGGGAGGAGAGGAGACACUCCAAUCUCGGGAGGCUCUGGACGGAGAUGGGACACUCCAGUCUCAGGUGGCUCCGGGCAGAGAUGGGACACUCCAGUCUCGGGAGGCUCUGAAUGGAGAUGGGACACUUCAGUCUCAGGAGACUCUGGGCGGAGAUAUGAUACCAGAGUCUUGGGAGGCUGCGGGCCGAAUUCCCCACAAGGGUAUUUACCAGGCUCCGUGGGUUCCUCAGUUACCUUCUCCCAGUCCUCACAACAAGCCCAUGCGCCCUCCAGGUUCCUCUCAGGAUCCAGCAGUGUCAGCACCUGUCGUAGGAGAUCUGGAGGCAUAUCUUCUCCCAGAUUGGGGUCCAUGGCCAAGGAAUGCUCAGCCAUAA